Patagioenas fasciata monilis is the source of this 101-nucleotide small nucleolar RNA. It matches the Rfam family "Small nucleolar RNA SNORD16". Rfam says of the family: U16 is a member of the C/D class of snoRNA which contain the C (UGAUGA) and D (CUGA) box motifs. The record is from Rfam. Lineage: Eukaryota; Metazoa; Chordata; Aves; Columbiformes; Columbidae.
UGCUAUGAUGAAGUAAUUUGCGUCUUAUCCAGUGUUCAGCGACAGUUGCCUGCUGUCAGCGUGCUGGCACUGCUGAGCUGAAGACCCCUUCACUCUGAGCA